UCGUUCAGUUGAUGAGAUUGAACGGUGGAGAUUGGCACGAGAUCCUGUUGCUAGAUUUCAGAAAUGGAUAGAAAACAAUGGUUGGUGGAGCAGUGAGGCUGAGUCAGAGCUUAGAAGCAGUGUGAGGAAGCAGCUAUUAAACGCAAUACAAGUGGCAGAGAGGGUUGAAAAACCUCCGGUCGCCGAUAUUUUUUCAGACGUGUAUGAUAUUCCCCCAUCCAACCUCUUUGAGCAAGAGAAGUGGCUUAGAGAGGCCAUCAAGAGACACCCACAAGAUUACCCAUCAGUUUUUCCCCAG
RNAcentral lists this unclassified non-coding RNA (298 nucleotides) under Hevea brasiliensis (rubber tree). Lineage: Eukaryota; Viridiplantae; Streptophyta; Magnoliopsida; Malpighiales; Euphorbiaceae. The record is from RNAcentral.